This 248-nucleotide ribosomal RNA is filed under the name uncultured bacterium. RNAcentral describes it as "partial 16S ribosomal RNA". It matches the Rfam family "Bacterial small subunit ribosomal RNA", at positions 15 to 254 of the family's 1533-position model. The record is from RNAcentral.
GAUCCUGGCUCAGGACGAACGCUGGCGGCGCGCCUAACACAUGCAAGUCGAACGGAGACAGGGAGGAGCUUGCUCCACCCUGUCUGAGUGGCGGACGGGUGAGUAACGCGUGAGUAACCUGCCUUAAAGAGGGGGAUAACGUCUGGAAACGGACGCUAAUACCGCAUGACAUACGGAGUUGGCAUCAUAACCGUAUCAAAGGAGGAAUCCGCUUUAAGGUGGACUCGCGUCCAAUUAGCUGGUUGGUG